AUUGAACGCUGGCGGCAUGCCUUACACAUGCAAGUCGAACGGUAACGGGUCCUUCGGGAUGCCGACGAGUGGCGAACGGGUGAGUAAUAUAUCGGAACGUGCCCAGUAGUGGGGGAUAACUGCUCGAAAGAGCAGCUAAUACCGCAUACGACCUGAGGGUGAAAGGGGGGGGUCGCAAGACCUCUCGCUAUUGGAGCGGCCGAUAUCAGAUUAGCUAGUUGGUGGGGUAAAGGCCUACCAAGGCAACGAUCUGUAGUUGGUCAGAGAGGACGACCAGCCAAACUGGGACUGAGACACGGGCCAGACUCCUACGGGAGGCAGCAGUGGGGAAUUGUGCACAAGGGGCGCAAGCCUGAUCCAGCAAUGCCGCGUGCAGGAAGAAGGCCUUCGGGUUGUAAACUGCUUUUGUCAGGGAAGAAAUCUUCUGCGCUAAUACCCCGGGAGGAUGACGGUACCUGAAGAAUAAGCACCGGCUAACUACGUGCCAGCCGCCGCGGUAA
This 500-nucleotide ribosomal RNA is filed under the name uncultured bacterium. Its description in RNAcentral is "partial 16S ribosomal RNA". It matches the Rfam family "Bacterial small subunit ribosomal RNA", at positions 29 to 523 of the family's 1533-position model. The record is from RNAcentral.